This 97-nucleotide signal recognition particle RNA is filed under the name Mycoplasma crocodyli MP145. RNAcentral's name for it is "Bacterial small signal recognition particle RNA". It matches the Rfam family "Bacterial small signal recognition particle RNA". Rfam says of the family: The signal recognition particle (SRP) is a universally conserved ribonucleoprotein involved in the co-translational targeting of proteins to membranes. Archaeal SRP consists of a 7S RNA and homologues of the eukaryotic SRP19 and SRP54 proteins. Lineage: Bacteria; Bacillati; Mycoplasmatota; Mollicutes; Mycoplasmatales; Mycoplasmataceae. The record is from Rfam by way of RNAcentral.
UAACAAAGCCAUUAGAACAAUAACAUCGUAACCCGGUCAGGGCGUGAUUGCAGCAGCCGCAUCGAAACGUGUUGUGUCUAGUGGUUUUUUAUAAAAA